This 370-nucleotide ribosomal RNA is filed under the name Pila globosa. Its description in RNAcentral is "SSU rRNA". It matches the Rfam family "Eukaryotic small subunit ribosomal RNA", at positions 42 to 375 of the family's 1831-position model. The record is from RNAcentral. Lineage: Eukaryota; Metazoa; Mollusca; Gastropoda; Architaenioglossa; Ampullariidae.
GAUUAAGCCAUGCAUGUCUCAGUUCACACCCUCGCACGGUGAAACCGCGAAUGGCUCAUUAAAUCAGUCGAGGUUCCUUAGAUGAUCCAUUUCUACCUGGAUAACUGUGGCAAUUCUAGAGCUAAUACAUGCGGACCAGCUCCGACCCGGUGUCGCAGCCGGGAAAGAGCGCUUUUAUUAGUUCAAAACCAGUCGGCAGGUCCGCCCUUCGCGGGGUGCGGCCAGCCGUCCCCUAUUGGUGACUCUGGAUAACUUUGUGCCGAUCGCAUGGCCUCGAGCCGGCGACGCAUCUUUCAAAUGUCUGCCCUAUCAAAUGUCGAUGGUACGUGAUAGGCCUACCAUGUUGGCUACGGGUGACGGGGAAUCGGGG